Molecule: transfer RNA, 72 nt
Filed under: bacterium
Lineage: Bacteria
Also listed under: 1 other name
Description: tRNA-Thr
Rfam family: tRNA
About the family: Transfer RNA (tRNA) molecules are approximately 80 nucleotides in length. Their secondary structure includes four short double-helical elements and three loops (D, anti-codon, and T loops).
Source: RNAcentral
GCCGGCAUAGCUCAGCGGUAGAGCGGGCGCCUUGUAAGCGCCAGGUCGUGGGUUCGAAUCCCACUGCCGGCU